Molecule: long non-coding RNA, 285 nt
Filed under: Nicotiana benthamiana
Lineage: Eukaryota; Viridiplantae; Streptophyta; Magnoliopsida; Solanales; Solanaceae
Description: long non-coding RNA (NBEN_LNC032024)
Source: RNAcentral
AACUAUAGAGUACCUGGUCCGUUAUGAGAUGAUAUGUAGAAUGUAAUAAAGAUUGAUGUAAAGAAGUUAAGAGAUUUUCUACGUGGAAAAAAUCCCACACAAGGGGAUCAAAAAAACCACGACCUACUUUUGUUGGCGUUUAACUCUACUAACUUGUUGUCUACCUAUUAGAAGCCACUUUACAAAAACCCUAUUGCAAAGACUUCAAACUAAUUUGUGAUGCAACCACCACAAGCCACUCUAUAACUCUCUUAGUUACAAAGGAUUUGAACUUAUGACUAUCCU